CGAACUCCUACGGGAGGCAGCAGUGGGGAAUAUUGGACAAUGGACCAAAAGUCUGAUCCAGCAAUUCUGUGUGCACGAUGACGUUUUUCGGAAUGUAAAGUGCUUUCAGUUGGGAAGAAAAAAAUGACGGUACCAACAGAAGAAGUGACGGCUAAAUACGUGCCAGCAGCCGCGGUAAUACGUAUGUCACAAGCGUUAUCCGGAUUUAUUGGGCGUAAAGCGCGUCUAGGUGGUUAUGUAAGUCUGAUGUGAAAAUGCAGGGCUCAACUCUGUAUUGCGUUGGAAAC
Molecule: ribosomal RNA, 287 nt
Filed under: Dickeya dadantii
Lineage: Bacteria; Pseudomonadati; Pseudomonadota; Gammaproteobacteria; Enterobacterales; Pectobacteriaceae
Description: partial 16S ribosomal RNA
Rfam family: Bacterial small subunit ribosomal RNA
Source: RNAcentral